UGGGGAAUAUUGGACAAUGGGCGAAAGCCUGAUCCAGCCAUGCCGCGUGUGUGAAGAAGGCCUUAUGGUUGUAAAGCACUUUAAGCGAGGAGGAGGGUACUGGUAUUAAUACUACCAGCUACUGGACGUUACUCGCAGAAUAAGCACCGGCUAACUCUGUGCCAGCAGCCGCGGUAAUACAGAGGGUGCGAGCGUUAAUCGGAUUUACUGGGCGUAAAGCGUGCGUAGGCGGCUAAUUGAGUCGGAUGUGAAAUCCCCGAGCUUAACUUGGGAAUUGCAUUCGAUACUGGUUAGCUAGAGUGUGGGAGAGGAUGGUAGAAUUCCAGGUGUAGCGGAGAAAUGCGUAGAGAUCUGGAGGAAUACCGAUGGCGAAGGCAGCCAUCUGGCCUAAUACUGACGCUGAGGUACGAAAGCAUGGGGAGCAAACAGG
This 430-nucleotide ribosomal RNA is filed under the name Pseudomonadota bacterium. Its description in RNAcentral is "Proteobacteria bacterium partial 16S ribosomal RNA". It matches the Rfam family "Bacterial small subunit ribosomal RNA", at positions 355 to 776 of the family's 1533-position model. Lineage: Bacteria; Pseudomonadati; Pseudomonadota. The record is from RNAcentral.